This is a long non-coding RNA of Morone saxatilis (striped sea-bass), 4139 nucleotides long. RefSeq lists it as uncharacterized. The transcript is spliced from 3 exons. The record is from RefSeq and is a predicted model, not a curated record. Lineage: Eukaryota; Metazoa; Chordata; Actinopteri; Moronidae.
UGAGAGAAGUGCUUAUUCUGGAGGAAAAAACGGGAGAUACAGUAUCUCUUUGCCUUCACGCUCUUACACAACUCUCCAGAAGUUGCAAGACCGGCUGCUCGAUAGUUAACUAUCUGAAAAGCUAGACUCAGCAUAUAUUUUCCCCUUGCUCACCCUGUGAUGAGCUCACUGACCCUCAGACCUACCGCCCCCUAUCUGCCGACAGUAAGACCAGCUGUUUGCUCCGAGUCCAGAGAACGGCGCACCAUCCAGACGAGAGAAGAAUAAGAAAUACCCCUCAACUCUUGUUCUCCUAUCCUAUCAGGUUGGAGGGCCAAGGACCUGAUUCACAACCUCUUACCUGACCACCAGGAGCUCUGUCCGGACAAACCCUCCGAGGUGGAUUUGUGUGGUGAAGAGAGGCGGUAAACAUCUUUGGAAACUGCGUGUUGAGGUUUAAAUUGGUUGCAACCUUGUCGGCCAACCAGCCAGCAUCAAACAAGCAACAACUCAUCGGAAACAGCAUCAUACUGGAGGUACAGCACAGAAAGAUGAACACAUUGGUCUUGUCACACGUCGCAGAGCGCAGCGGAGGGGAAGCAAACAACAGCAGGGUGGUCGCAGACUGGGGCAUCAUCAUGACAAAACACUGAGGGCAUCUGUCAGCAUCUUAAGGUCAUCCUUCACACCUUCCAGGCCUCCUUGGAUCUUCAGCGGGUUGUCCAGCACCUCCACACUGCUGGUGUACGGAUCAAACCUCACUGAGAAGGGACGUUUGAUACCGGUCACGUAGGUUCUUGUCAAAGAAAAAAGGUCAGAAAAGAAAAAAGUAAGACCUAAAGAACUUAAAGACUAGGCAGUCUUUGAGCUCUUCAUGAAUGUGUGUGUCUAAGAAACAUAAAACCAAAUAUUUCACUUCGCCAGAGGAAACUUCUCUUUGAUUGACUAGAAAAAGUCCCCCUGGCUGUAGUUUGGUCUGUUAAUAGAGACUUAAUAGAGAAUAUCCUACUUAUAUCUGCACCACAUAAGGAACAGAGAUAUUCAUCACGAGAUUUCCCUCUUACUACACUUUUACAAACGUUCCCAUGCUGAUAUUUUGUGUGGCAGAGAUGUCAUGUGAUGUAUUCUACUAGAGACCAAAUACUGUCAAAACACUCACUAAAGCUACUUGUUUUGCAGGGCAACAUUUGAUCUGUUUGCCAAAUAAAACUCCAGCCUUUUUUGCCUUGGUAAGAAAGACUACAUUAGUAACAGCUGUCUUCUGGCUGCUAUGGCUGACCUACAAAAGUUUACGGCCUGAGGGGUUGGCUGGCUUUUUCUCUGACCUUAUCCUUGCAUAACCCCUCUCACUUUUAGUUUUUUUCUUCUUCUCUCUGUAUGCUCUUGUGUAUUUACAUGUGUUUGUGGAAAACGUGUGGCUCAGUACCUGAAUUUCUCCUUGGCAUCUGAAAAACUCUCAGAAAUGAAGUAGACAGGCUGGUACGUCUGAUCCUGAUACGGCUGCACUGCCGCGGCCUCUGGAUCAAACUCUCUCGUCUCUGGUUCGUCGGACAGUGAGUGCUGGAUUGAAGUUAAAAGAAAUAUAGAUGGGGAAUUAGCUGAAAGCUUAGUUGGUUGUGAUUAUUGCAUUUUUAUUCAGGGAAAUUAAAACAUUAAGCAUGCUGGAAACGCACCACAAGCUCUCCAUAAGAGGAAAGCAGUCCAGCACCGUAAGCCUUCACCUCCCCGUUCUGUUUGCAUAAGCCAUACUCGACGGUGAACCAGUAUAACUGAAAACAUAAAGAGAGUGGCUGAGAGAAAGAAGGAUACUGGGGUAGACAAUCAGUUCAUUAUUUAUGUCAUAUUUUAGACAAGGGACUGUACAAUGACCAGGAAGGGAGGUGGGGUUCAUUUAAUCUUCUUGAACUAAACUAAAUGGUUCAAUCGGGUCGGGUAGCGUGUCUCAAUCGGUUUCAAUCAGGCAUUUAUUUUACACUUUAUUUUAAUAUCUAGUAGCUAGCAGAGUUUUGAAAAACAGUAGUUAACAGUCAGUAAAAAAAACACCCCAUUUUUUUCUGUUUUUCAUAAUUUUGGCAAUUGCUAUUUUCAUUCCAAAUGUGCAUAUAAUAAUAAAUCCAGAAUAUCAAAAUAAAUUGAUUAAGAAUGAACAUAUUACGCUUGAAAUGGAGGUUGGGUAGACAUAAUAGUGGAACUAUUCUCAACACCUCAGUCAUGUUGUAAGUACUGUUGCUGUUACUCACUGUGGACAGUUUCUCAAUAUCUUGAUCCGAAGCUCCAAGUGAUGCCAGACCAAGGUUCUGCAGCAAGUAAUCAAUACAUUGUCAUCACAACAUAAUACUGCAUGUAAAAUAAUAAUGUGUAAGUCUAAGUCUCCCCAUAUUCACCUGUGAAAACUGGGCAAAAGUACGGUCGGCCAGCAUGGGGACGUGGCCCAGCAGUUCAUGGACACAGUCACUGAAAAAAAAAAGAAAGAAACAUUCAGCUGGAUCCAAAUUGAGAAACCAUGCACAGAUAAAUUUAACUAAAUACAGACUUCACAAACUGCCAAUUCAAUCUGGUUGCAUUACAAAACAAUGGUUACAGAGUGAAAAACAAUUCUGUGUGACACAAGACAAGUGAAGUUUGUUUGUGCUCGUAAAACUAACUUAUAUUUGUCCCAAAAAUCCAUACUUCUUUGUAGGCUAGUUUUUUGAGUGAACUUUUAUAUAUAGCAAUAAAUUGUUUUUUUAGUUUGUUAGUAUUUCUCACUUAAACUACAUUUGCCAACACUAACUAGUUAUUUUAUUUGCUUCAUAUUUUUCCCUUUUUUCAUAUGUACAGGGUAGGUAUUUAUUUUAUGCUGUCACUUUGUUGGUGUGUAAUCUUUGGCAACAUGUUUUUGUUAAAAACAACAUUCCAAUAUAGUUUCACUGAGCUGAAUUAAGAAAAGAGAAAAGGCUAUUUUAAGGAACAACAUCUGAGGGUGAAGGAUGGGAGGCUUAAGGAGGUGCACUCAACAUUAUUGCUGAGACACUGACACGCAGAUCUCGAUGGCAAUGGCUAAAAUGUGUUGUAGGUCUUGAUGUUAGGAGCAAAGAGGAGUCACAGUCAUACUCACGGCUCUGGGGAGUGCAUAGGGGAAGAGGCGUGUCGGAUGUAUUGGGUGCACUGGAACACCCGAUAUGCCAAACUGGCAAGGAAAUCUCUGGCUGAGAGCAGACCUGCCACUGGACGCAGUAUGAACCCUGUACGCUCUGUGUGUGUGUGUGUUCAGGAGGUGGGAUAAAAGGAGACAGAGAGUUGAUGGACAGUGUAUUCACUAAACAUUUGCUUCACUUUGGGUGUUUCUUAUUCCAUCUUUACCUUUGAGGAAGCGUGACACGUCCUCUAACUGGGGAAUGUUGUCUGGACUGUACCCACAAUGCCUUUCCAGGAGACGGAAGGCCUCGAGGUAUUCACUGCAGGCAUGGGUGACGUACAAGUCCCUCAGAGUUGAGUAGACUUCCCUCCUAAUCAUGGAUGAAAUUGCAUAAUAAUUCAGAUUAAAUUUUUUUCCUGAACAAAAUCUCUCAUGUCCUUCUCAAGCAAUUUUUUUUAAAUUUUUUAUUCUCCUGUUUAAUCAGUUUUGUUUAAAUUCAGCUUAUGUUUUCCUGUCAAAUCUCUCUGGUAUAUUUUCUGCACAGAAAAGUUCAAGCUGCCCUACCUAUAAUAGCGCCCUUCGUCUGUAUCUAAUUCACCAAAAUAAAAGACAAAUCAUAUUCAACUGUCUGAGACAGGAGAUGAAAUUGAGGCAGUGGGUGGUGAAUGGACACAACGAUGUUCUGAUAUGGAAACAGCAGGAAGGUCUGCAUGUUUGAAAAACAAGUGAUAAUUUGUAUUCAGUGUAAAUUUUGAUUUUAUGCUUGGUGAUCUACACAUAACACAUUAACUGCAUAUUACACCCCUUACCAUGUGCCAAUCUCCUCCUCUGUGUAUUCCACUCUGGGAAUCGAAUCCCCGCUGAGGACAAACAUAUAAAGAUGUAUCAGGAAUAAUCAAGUAUUAGGUUUUUUUAUGGACGUCUGCGCUGUAAUCAGGCAAAAGAUUGUAGCUCACUGUCUGUAUCUGAAGGCGAUGUCUCCAAUCAUUUUCCUCCUCUGUCUGUAAGCAGGGUCUGUGAAGCCCUGUUCAAAUCAAAUAUA